RNAcentral lists this long non-coding RNA (3307 nucleotides) under Mus musculus (house mouse). RNAcentral's name for it is "long non-coding RNA chr6:54902421-54905728". Lineage: Eukaryota; Metazoa; Chordata; Mammalia; Rodentia; Muridae. The record is from RNAcentral.
AUUUCAUUACAUAAUUGUGCCAUAAUAUUAGAUAGUAUUAAUAUUUUAUAAUCCCAUUUGAUAAUAAAUAUUUAGCAGUGCCAUGGUUGAGUAACUCCUCUAAAUUUUGUAAAUGUCUUAUAUAAGACUAAAAUGAAUUUUUUUCUAAAGUUGAUGGGUCAAGCUAACAAUCACUGCUGUUCCUCCACUGAGCCCAAUCCUGUGUCUCAAUGCCAAAGCUUAAGUCCUUAGCAUGACCUAAAGGCUCCAUAACACACAGGCAUGAACACACCCCUCCCACUUCCUUCUCUAGCCCUUCUGUCACCUGCCCUCACUUGCCUUCCUGUUAUGGGCUCUUCUGCCUAUAACACUUCCUCCUCAGCAUCCUUGUUUGGUUUGGCAUGAUUGUCACCUAAUGGAGACACUCUUUAACCAUCCAAUGAAAACACCAAACAUCGCCAGGCACGUAGUUGUCACUCAGUAAGCUAAACAAUAGUAAUACCAACAUUGGCCUUGUGAAAGGAGAGGCUGUGGUAUAAGAGAAACUACUGUUUUGGAUGCUCAAGCAACCUUUCAUGUAGUUUUAUUCAACUAAUAUUUGAUCCAGGAUUUUUUUACACUACCCAUAUGAAAUGUCAUCUGAUCUAUAGUUUUUCAUUGUUGCAUUCUUUUUUGUUUUUGUUGCUAGAAAAUUGGGCAGGAGGUGCUCAUUAAGAGCCUUGGGAACUGUUCCUUGGUUUAUUUUAAAAGUUUAAACAGACUACUAGAAAUGUCCUUCUGUGUACUGGUUAGCCUACAUGUCACAGAUUGUGCCUUGCCUGAAAAGAGGCCAUGCCAAGAUAUGAAUCAGACUAUUCUGGGAGUGUGCGUGAGAUUUAUUACAGCAGGUAUGGGCCAGUUUCUUCUCUUGGGAGGCAGGGAGAGUUCCUGGGGGUGGUAGCUAGUGUCUGCAAAUGGAGGUAGAGAGUCUCAGAAGCAAGCAGAUGAGCCUCGUAGUGUAUGUGUUCCCACGCCAGCAGCUCGUGCUACAGUAGUUUCAAAAGAAGGAUUUUGUGAAUUUGAGGUUAGGCUGUGUGCUUGUUUUCUUUCUGUAGCUGUGAUAAGAAACCCAACAAAAGUGUGUUAGGAAAGAAGGGGUUUAUUUCAACUUACAAUUUCAGUUACAGCCAGUCACUGUGGGCAAGUCAAGGCAAGAACUUCAAACAGCUAGUUACAUCCCAGCUAUGGUCGAGAGCAGCUCCCCAGUGCAGGGGUUCCGGGAAUGUGCAGCCAUGCCCUCGCUUCUGUGCACGCACAGGUGCUAGGGAUCCUAUCAUCCUUCUGAUUGACCUUUAUAGUUGAUUAGACUUUAUGAAUGUUUGAAAAAUAUGUGCGAUUUUUAAUGUUUACUUAGCUACAGAUAAGUAACAUUCCUUAAUUAUUUGCUGUAUAUUAUGUUUUGUAAUCUGUUGUCUUAUUCCAUGUAAUUAUCAUUCAUCUCUUUUGACUUUUUUAAAAGAUUUAUUUGUUCCAUAUAUUUGAGUACAUUGUUCCUCUCUUCAGACACACCAGAAGAGGGCAUCAGACAAGCCAUCAUGUGGUUGCUGGGAAUUGAACUCAGGACCUCUGGAAGAGCAGUCAGUGCUCUUGACCCCUGAGCCAUUUCUCCAGCCCCCCUUUGACUUUUAAAGACUGUUCCAUGUUAACAGAUGCCUGUCGUUUCAGAUCUGGAAGCUGAGGUAGGUUUGAGAGUCUGAGGCCUACUUGGGCUAUACAGUGAGAUCCUGUCUCUAAAAGAAAAAAAAAAUUAGCCCAAAAUUUACCUACUUUAUUCAUUUAUGGCCAAUAUAUGUUGCUGCCUAGCUGUCUGGGUAGAGUCAAUAUCUUCACUAAUGUAACAAUGUUUUAUGGUCUUCUAAUUAUUUCUGCUGUGUAGCAAAGCACCUCAGACUUAGUGAUUUCAGUGACAGUGGUCUUUGUGUUAUUUCCACAUUGGGCUACAGGCUGCUUGCUCAUCUUUUCUCCUUGCACUUCAGUUGGAGCUGGGUGAUGUACAGGUUCAGGUGGGAGUUGCCUGAGCCUUCACUCUUGUCUGCUGGUUGAUGUUGGUGGUCAGUGUGAACCUCACUCAGCGGGAUUUCUUUGCCAGAACACCUACUGUGAAGAUUACUGGUAUUAACUUGAUAGACUCUAGAAUCACUUCUGGGUGGCAUGCCUCCGGGGAAAUACCUUGAUUAUGUUCAUCGAUGAAGGAAGACCCACUCACUGUGGGCAGCACCACUCCUUGGCUGGGAUCCUGGACUACAUAUGUAAAGAAAAGAAAGGGCUGAACAGCAGCAAGAACUAAGUCCCCUCUGUUCCUGACUGUGAGGCUCUGUGCCCAGCUGUCACAAAUCCUGCUACCUUGAUUCCUCAGUCAUGAGAGACUAUAACUCAGACCUGUCAGCCAAAAUGAACCCUUCCACCCUUAAUCUCCUUGUUAGAGCAUUUUAUCACAGCAAAGAGAAAAGAAACUAAGACAUGUCCCAGUAACGUCUGAGUGGCAGCUUCCUAACUGCAGAGACUGUGCUCAGUGAGGUUCUCCCAAGAGAACAAGGCAACAGUGCUUGGGUUUUAUGCUCUCAGCUCACAAGUCACACACAGUCACUUCCACUCUAUCAGGUUAGUGGCAAGGACACAAAGGUCCUCCUAGGUUCACAGGAGGAAGACAGCCCACCAAACAAGAAGGGGUGUACAGAGUUAACCUAUUAACAAAGCAUGUGAGGUGGGGUAGAUCAGGGACCCUCUUUGAACAUGUCAGGUAGGGUGGAACAUUGCCUCUCGUUACAGCUAUAAGGUAGGUAGACCAGUUAUCCCUCUUUGGAAAGGACAGUUGAACAUACCUAAAAAUUGAAAAUGAGUUAGUUACAACAGCAUGAUGCAUGUAUUAAGGUUGAUUGGCAAGGAAAUGAAGAGGCCUGCUCUACAUAGUUAAUUCUAAACACACACACACACUAAGUCAUAGUACUAAGUACUAUGUCAGAGCCAAGAAAUUCUUACUUCCCACAUCCCUGAUUUUUCCUUUCCAACAUUAUCUCUGUCUUUCCCCUGGUCUUACAUCCUUUGAUGCUGCCAAUUCAUACAGCAGGUUACAAACUGUGCACACCUGGAGUGUCAUCAAGAGAAACUGAAGCUUUGCCUCAUUCUGCACAGUGGGACAGAUGCUUGAAGUUCUAGCCAUCUGGUCAGGUACAUUCCAUCUGCAGCGACCAUCCUGAAGGCUUUUUGUCUCCUUCCCAAACAGAUGGGUCCAUAGUUUUUGUAGCUCUUUCUGUGACCAGUUCUCCCUGGGCUCUGCCAGAUCUGUAAU